CCUGCGCCUCCAGCCACUCCACCUUGGCGGCCCAGUCGGGCGUGGGGCUGCCGGCCGCAGAGGAGAGCACAGCUGCCUUCGUGUCCAGGCCCAGCAGGGAUGUCCCGAAAUGCAGCCAAGCCCGCUGGAGGGUGGGCAGGUCGCAGCCGUAAACC
Molecule: small nucleolar RNA, 155 nt
Filed under: Gonium pectorale
Lineage: Eukaryota; Viridiplantae; Chlorophyta; Chlorophyceae; Chlamydomonadales; Volvocaceae
Description: Small nucleolar RNA SNORA17
Rfam family: Small nucleolar RNA SNORA17
About the family: snoRNA ACA 17 belongs to the H/ACA family of snoRNAs and is predicted to guide pseudouridylation of the 28S rRNA at positions U4659 and U4598. It shares the same host gene together with ACA43. NB This family has a high threshold value to exclude a large number of closely related sequences that do not appear to have conserved H and ACA boxes, and may be pseudogenes.
Source: Rfam by way of RNAcentral